CGUCUAGGUUAGCCAUUGCAUGUGUAAGCGAAGCGUAAGUGGAGCGGCGUAAGGCUUCAGUAACGGGCGAUUAUUUGAUCUCUCUCGGUGGAUAUCCUCUGUAAACGGAGGGCAAAACACAGAAGAGGCGGUGGUUACAUCGUCUGUUUAACGAAUAGUGAGAGAGAGUAAGAUGCCAUCCCAUCAGUUAGUAAGUAGGGUAAGGGCCUACUUAGACGAAGACGGGUACGGGGAAUUAUCGUUUGAUUCCGGAGAGGGAGCCUGAGAGACGGCUACCAGGUCCAAGGACAGCAGCAGGCGCGAAAAUUACCGCAGCCUGCAUUCAGGGCGGUAGUAAGGAGACGUGAAUACGAUGUGCAGGUAAAUGAUGCACUAAAUACAGGAGGACAAGACUGGUGCCAGCACCCGCGGUAAUACCAGCUCCUGGAGUGUCUAUGAUGAUUGCUGCAGUUAAAGAGUUCGUAGUCGGAGCGUUUUGACCGGCGUGACAGACUGCCACUCAAGGGGAGUUUUGCGCCGUGAUUACGCGGAAUGAGGAGCGUCUAGGGGCCAGGUUAUUAAGCGACGAGGGGUGAAAUCUGGUGACUCGCUUAGGAGCGACAGAGGCGAAAGCGCUGGCCAGGGGCGAAUCCGAUGAUAAAGGACGUAGGCUAGAGGAUCGAAGACGAUUAGAGACCGUUGUAGUUCUAGCAGUAAACGAUGCCGAUGCCGUGGUGCUUUGUGAGCGACGCGGAAGAGAAAUCUAGUAGGGCCCUGGGGAGAGUACGCGCGCAAGCGAGAAAUUUAAAGGAAAUUGACGGAAGAACACCACAAGGAGUGGAGUGUGCGGCUUAAUUUGACUCAACGCGGGACAGCUUACCAGGCCCGACGGCCGGACGAGUGUGGUACACGAUAGGCCCGAAAAAUGGUGCAUGGCCGUGACACAA
Molecule: ribosomal RNA, 926 nt
Filed under: Glugea arabica
Lineage: Eukaryota; Fungi; Microsporidia; Glugeidae
Description: SSU rRNA
Rfam family: Microsporidia small subunit ribosomal RNA
Source: RNAcentral